This 503-nucleotide ribosomal RNA is filed under the name Burkholderia ubonensis. RNAcentral's name for it is "bacterial LSU rRNA". It matches the Rfam family "Bacterial large subunit ribosomal RNA", at positions 2434 to 2925 of the family's 2925-position model. Lineage: Bacteria; Pseudomonadati; Pseudomonadota; Betaproteobacteria; Burkholderiales; Burkholderiaceae. The record is from RNAcentral.
UGGAAGGGCCAUCGCUCAACGGAUAAAAGGUACUCUGGGGAUAACAGGCUGAUACCGCCCAAGAGUUCAUAUCGACGGCGGUGUUUGGCACCUCGAUGUCGGCUCAUCUCAUCCUGGGGCUGUAGCCGGUCCCAAGGGUAUGGCUGUUCGCCAUUUAAAGAGGUACGUGAGCUGGGUUUAAAACGUCGUGAGACAGUUUGGUCCCUAUCUGCCGUGGGCGUUGGAUAUUUGAAGGGGGCUGCUCCUAGUACGAGAGGACCGGAGUGGACGAACCUCUGGUGUACCGGUUGUGACGCCAGUCGCAUCGCCGGGUAGCUAUGUUCGGAAGAGAUAACCGCUGAAAGCAUCUAAGCGGGAAACUCGCCUUAAGAUGAGAUAUCCCUGGAGGCUUGACCUCCUUGAAGGGUCGUUCGAGACCAGGACGUUGAUAGGUCGGGUGUGUAAGCGCAGUAAUGCGUUCAGCUAACCGAUACUAAUUGCCCGUAAGGCUUGAUCCUAUAACA